This 319-nucleotide ribosomal RNA is filed under the name uncultured eukaryote. RNAcentral's name for it is "partial 18S ribosomal RNA". It matches the Rfam family "Eukaryotic small subunit ribosomal RNA", at positions 1470 to 1796 of the family's 1831-position model. The record is from RNAcentral.
CCCUUAGAUGUUCUGGGCUGCACGCGUGCUACAAUGGCGUUUCCAGCAAGUCUGCGGACCCGAGAGGGCCAGCGGAUCUUCGAAUUGGCGUCGUGAUCGGGACAGUCGAUUGCAAUUAUUUGACUCAAACGAGGAAUUCCUUGUAAUCGCGAUUCAUCAUAUCGCGCUGAAUACGUCCCUGCCCUUUGUACACACCGCCCGUCGCUCCUACCGAUUGAGCGAUCCGGUAAAUGUUUUGGAUUGGUGCCGGGGCGGCUAGCUGCCGGUCGCUACGAAAUUUUGUGAACCUUAUCGCUUAGAGGAAGGAAAAGUCGUAACA